CCUACGGGUGGCAGCAGUAGGGAAUAUUGCUCAAUGGGGGAAACCCUGAAGCAGCAACGCCGCGUGGAGGAUGAAGGUUCUCGGAUUGGAAACUCCUUUUGUUAGAGAAGAUAAUGACGGUAUCUAACGAAUAAGCACAGGCUAACUCCGUUCCAGAAGCGGCGGUAAUACGGAGGAUGCAAGCGUAACUCGGAUUCACUGGGCGUAAAGAGCGCGUAGGCGGGAUAGCAAGUGAGAUGUGAAAUCCUAUGGCUUAACCAUAGAACUGCAUUUGAAACUGUUAUUCUAGAGUAUGGGAGAGGUAGGUGGAAUUCUUGGUGUAGCGGUAAAAUCCGUAGAGAUCAAGAGGAAUACUGAUUGCGAAGGCGACCUGCUAGAACAUAACUGACGCUGAUGCGCGAAAGCGUGGGGAGCAAACAGGAUUAGAUACCCUAGUAGUC
RNAcentral lists this ribosomal RNA (440 nucleotides) under uncultured bacterium. RNAcentral's name for it is "partial 16S ribosomal RNA". It matches the Rfam family "Bacterial small subunit ribosomal RNA", at positions 338 to 795 of the family's 1533-position model. The record is from RNAcentral.